AGUGAACGCUGGCGGUAGGCCUAACACAUGCAAGUCGAACGGCAGCACAGUAAGAGCUUGCUCUUACGGGUGGCGAGUGGCGGACGGGUGAGGAAUACAUCGGAAUCUACUUUUUCGUGGGGGAUAACGUAGGGAAACUUACGCUAAUACCGCAUACGACCUACGGGUGAAAGCAGGGGAUCUUCGGACCUUGCGCGAUUGAAUGAGCCGAUGUCGGAUUAGCUAGUUGGCGGGGUAAAGGCCCACCAAGGCGACGAUCCGUAGCUGGUCUGAGAGGAUGAUCAGCCACACUGGAACUGAGACACGGUCCAGACUCCUAAGGGAGGCAGCAGUGGGGAAUAUUGGACAGUGGGCGCAAGCCUGAUCCAGCCAUACCGCGUGGGUGAAGAAGGCCUUCGGGUUGUAAAGCCCUUUUGUUGGGAAAGAAAAGCAGCAGGUUAAUACCCCGCUGUUCUGACGGUACCCAAAGAAUAAGCACCGGCUAACUUCGUG
RNAcentral lists this ribosomal RNA (492 nucleotides) under uncultured bacterium. RNAcentral describes it as "partial 16S ribosomal RNA". It matches the Rfam family "Bacterial small subunit ribosomal RNA", at positions 29 to 507 of the family's 1533-position model. The record is from RNAcentral.